AUAUCAAUAAGCUGAGGAAAAGAAACCAACAGGGAUUGCCUCAGUAACGGCGAGUGAAGCGGCAACAGCUCAAAUUUGAAAUCUGGCCUCUUGGGGUCCGAGUUGUAAUUUGUAGAGGAUGUUUCGGGUACCGCCUCGGUUUAAAUUUCUUGGAACAGAAUGUCAAAGAGGGUGAGAAUCCCGUCUUGGACCGGCGGUAGGGCCUAUGUGAAACUCCUUCGACGAGUCGAGUUGUUUGGGAAUGCAGCUCAAAAUGGGUGGUAAAUUUCAUCUAAAGCUAAAUAUUGGCCAGAGACCGAUAGCGCACAAGUAGAGUGAUCGAAAGAUGAAAAGCACUUUGAAAAGAGAGUUAAACAGUAUGUGAAAUUGUUGAAAGGGAAGCGCUUGCAACCAGACUUGAGCGCGGCGGUUCCCCCUUGCUUCUGCUUGGGUUACUCCGCCGUGUCCAGGCCAACAUCGGUUCUGGGGGUCGGUCAAAGGCUCUGGGAAUGUAUCUACCCACGGGUAGACUUAUAGACCAGGGUGUCAUGCGACCUCCCGGGACCGAGGAACGCGCUUCGGCUCGGAUGUUGGCGUAAUGGUUGUCAGCGACCCGUCUUG
RNAcentral lists this ribosomal RNA (600 nucleotides) under Fonsecaea nubica. Its description in RNAcentral is "partial large subunit ribosomal RNA". It matches the Rfam family "Eukaryotic large subunit ribosomal RNA", at positions 40 to 656 of the family's 3401-position model. The record is from RNAcentral. Lineage: Eukaryota; Fungi; Ascomycota; Eurotiomycetes; Chaetothyriales; Herpotrichiellaceae.